This 239-nucleotide ribosomal RNA is filed under the name Vibrio parahaemolyticus. RNAcentral describes it as "partial 16S ribosomal RNA". It matches the Rfam family "Bacterial small subunit ribosomal RNA", at positions 693 to 931 of the family's 1533-position model. The record is from RNAcentral. Lineage: Bacteria; Pseudomonadati; Pseudomonadota; Gammaproteobacteria; Vibrionales; Vibrionaceae.
GAGAUCUGAAGGAAUACCGGUGGCGAAGGCGGCCCCCUGGACAGAUACUGACACUCAGAUGCGAAAGCGUGGGGAGCAAACAGGAUUAGAUACCCUGGUAGUCCACGCCGUAAACGAUGUCUACUUGGAGGUUGUGGCCUUGAGCCGUGGCUUUCGGAGCUAACGCGUUAAGUAGACCGCCUGGGGAGUACGGUCGCAAGAUUAAAACUCAAAUGAAUUGACGGGGGCCCGCACAAGCG